Molecule: long non-coding RNA, 467 nt
Organism: Homo sapiens (human)
Lineage: Eukaryota; Metazoa; Chordata; Mammalia; Primates; Hominidae
Source: Ensembl
UGCAGGGAUAGGGAUAAUGCUUUUAUAUUAGUUUUUCUAUAACAAGAAAAAUCAGCUUUGAGAUUUUUAUCAUUUUUUUCCUUAGAAAAGAAUAAAAAAUAAAGGCACCCGGAACUUCCCCCACAGGCCUGAAGAACAAAGGUGUCUCCUAGGUGCAGCUGGGUCCUUCCUCCCUGGCUCAGCCCAGCCCCAUCACCUCUGCUUCACUCCUGCCCCAAGGCCCCAGCAGCACCCAGGGGGCUCUCCCAUCCUGCCUCCACUGGGCUUGCCCAUUGGAAAAGUGCCUGUGUCCUGCCAGGGCGUGGCAGGGAGGGACUCUUAGCAGAGUGACUGCCCAGCACCUGGAGGAGCAGGGUGGGCCAGGCCAGGCCCGGGCUCCUCAGGGCUCAGUACCAGCACCGGCUCCUCCUCCGCAAAUUCGUUCUCUUCGGGGCUCAGGCUGUGGCCGCCACUUCGGCCAAAUCCUG